UGGCUCAGUGGUAGAGCACUUGCCUCACAUGCAUGAGGCCCUGGGUUCGAUUCCUCAG
Molecule: non-coding RNA, 58 nt
Organism: Dipodomys ordii (Ord's kangaroo rat)
Lineage: Eukaryota; Metazoa; Chordata; Mammalia; Rodentia; Heteromyidae
Source: Rfam